UGUCUCGUUAGCUCAGCGGGAGAGCACUUGCUUGACAGGCAAGGGGUCACUGGUUCAAUCCCAGUACGGGACAU
RNAcentral lists this transfer RNA (74 nucleotides) under Paraliobacillus quinghaiensis. Its description in RNAcentral is "tRNA-Val". It matches the Rfam family "tRNA". Rfam says of the family: Transfer RNA (tRNA) molecules are approximately 80 nucleotides in length. Their secondary structure includes four short double-helical elements and three loops (D, anti-codon, and T loops). The record is from RNAcentral. Lineage: Bacteria; Bacillati; Bacillota; Bacilli; Caryophanales; Bacillaceae.